RNAcentral lists this long non-coding RNA (637 nucleotides) under Elaeis guineensis (African oil palm). RNAcentral describes it as "long non-coding RNA (EGUI_LNC032424)". The record is from RNAcentral. Lineage: Eukaryota; Viridiplantae; Streptophyta; Magnoliopsida; Arecales; Arecaceae.
UCCACCAAAUUGAUGCAUACUUUUUGAGCUUGACAGAGACUAACUUGACACUUCAAUCAUCAGUGAUUUUGGUGAGCUUGAAAACUCAAUAAAUAGUGUGGAGCUAAUCAACAAACUCAUCAGGUUAUAAACAUCCUUCAAAGUCAUGGAUAUUUAUUUUGAUACUGAAGUCAUGAUGAUUGCAAUGUGGUCUUCAUUCAUAUUGGUGUCAAGGUCUUCUUUGCUCGAUAGAGAUCCCAUUCUAUUAUAAAAAGGAUUAGAAUCUUCUAUUUCUUCAUUGGAACAGUCACUUUCAUCAUCAAAGGGUUCUCUAUUAGAAUAGUGAUUAGGACAUUGGCAACUUUAGCAUCCAUUUUACUCUUGCCAUUGACGAGCUACCAUUUUUCUUGUCAUAUUUGUUCAAGCUAGCGAUUCAAUUCACUAAUUUGAUGUCUCUAAAAUUUUGCUUACAUUCAACGGGCUCUUCUUUAUUAUGACAAUAAGGCAACAUCUUAAAAUUGUGCUAUAAUCCAAUUGAAACCAUGAAAGUGUUGAACUUCAACUAAAAACUCAAAGGAGGAAGAGUAUGUCGGUGCAACCAAUUAUGGAUAGAUAGAAACAUCACUACAGCAUAAUGUGCGACAAAAGAAAGAUGGUA